Apiotrichum porosum is the source of this 109-nucleotide non-coding RNA. Lineage: Eukaryota; Fungi; Basidiomycota; Tremellomycetes; Trichosporonales; Trichosporonaceae. The record is from the annotation of a RefSeq genome assembly.
GGCGAUUUAGCUCAGUUGGUUAGAGCGUGUGCUUAACACUGGCAGCCCCUCCUUGGAGAGCGUUGCAGCGUUGCGCACAAGGUCGGCGGUUCGACCCCGUCAAACGUCA